GACGAACGCUGGCGGCGUGCUUAACACAUGCAAGUCGAACGGAAAGGCCCUGCUUGCUGGGUGCCCGAGUGGCGAACGGGUGAGUAACACGUGGGUGAUCUGCCCCUUACUUUGGGAUAAGCCUGGGAAACGGGGUCUAAUACUGGAUAGGAGCAUGCUGGAGGUGGGGUGGGGGAGAGAUGAGUUUCGGUGAGGGAUGAGCUCGAGGCCUAUCAGCCGGUUGGUGGGGUAUUGGCCUACAAAGGCGUCGACGGGUAGCCGGCCAGAGCGGGUGGGAGGCCGCAUUGCGACUGUGAGACUGCGAAGACGCCUACGCGAGUAAGCAGUGGAGAAGAGGGGAAAAUGGGCGCAAGCCCGAUGCAGCGACGCCGCGUGGGGGAUGACGGCCUUCGGGUUGUAAGCUCCUUAAAGCCAUGAAGACGCCCUUGUAGUGACGGUAGCGGGAGAAGAAGCACCGGCUAACUACGUG
Molecule: ribosomal RNA, 469 nt
Filed under: uncultured bacterium
Lineage: Bacteria
Description: partial 16S ribosomal RNA
Rfam family: Bacterial small subunit ribosomal RNA
Source: RNAcentral